AUCAGCGAUUUGCAUGGGGGGUGGGGGAGGCGGUGGGGGUCGAAGGGCUGAAGAUGCGGAUGAGGCCGAGUCGCCGGGCGCUUUCGGGGGCGCUGCGCCGAGGCGCAGACAAGGGGGCCCGGAACCGCGGUUACGAGCUGCCGCGGCGGCAGCAGGAGCGGUUUUCUCCCAGGUCCGGUUUUCUCGGAGGAUGCUGCAGCCCGCGACUCGAGGCCAUUCACCUCCAUCCGAAACCUCAGCUCCAAAUGCCUUGUUUUAGAAGCUAGAGCUUGGGAGGCUCCGAGGACGGUUCCCGGGGGAGCGGGUGACAGGCGGUGAGGCUCUCGCGUCCUCUCUGAGUCCUGCACAGGGACCGAGGGAGAGGGUGCUAGCAAUGGCUUAGCUGCCGAACGCGUGGUCUUGCCAUUUUCGCGUCCCGAUACGGCACACACGAUCGCCCGAUCGAUCGGAAAAAGGAGGGAAAGGUAGAGUGGAAAAUUGAUUUCUUGCAGAGACGGAGGCGCCGAAUGAUAGAGGGAAUAAACAUUUGCCCUGGAUAAAAAUGUUCUUGGCUGUGUUCCUGCCCUAAUAAGGAUCUAGACCAGAAGAUUUUCUUCAGUCAUCAAAUUUUACCCCAAAGAUUACUGUUGUGUUAUAUAUGUCUGUUUUACACAGGUUGACCGAUAUUGGUAGGGGGAUCUGAGGUCCACACAAGGAGGUUGAAUGUCCUGACUUAGAUUUGUUACAAAUUCAACCUUAACAAUUGUGAUAUAUAUAGAAAGCAUACUUUGCAUAUAUGAUCUUCUUAUGCUGUCUAAACCUACUUACCUAAAUUGCUAUUCAAAAAAAAUACAGUUGUUUGUUGAGGACCCAACCUGACUUAAGUCAGAAAAUGUAACAUUAAAAUUUUUAUUUUAUAUGUGAAAUGAUUGUGAGGUUGCUAUUCUUUUAAAUAUUUGGAGAAUAAGAAGA
This is a long non-coding RNA of Mustela erminea (ermine), 951 nucleotides long. RefSeq lists it as uncharacterized. The transcript has 3 exons. The record is from RefSeq and is a predicted model, not a curated record. Lineage: Eukaryota; Metazoa; Chordata; Mammalia; Carnivora; Mustelidae.